GGAGGGAAUGGGAGAAAGAGGAGAGGGAAGAGAGGAAGGGGGACCGGCCGGCGCUGGUGGGCCUUGCCGUCGCCGUCGACGUUGCCUAGAGGAGGAGAAGGAACCAGGUGAGCAAAGGGGAGGAGGAGGCCACUGCUGUUGUCCGCGCCGUCACCGUCGCGCUAAGCGUGUCACCAAUGCUGUUGUUGCCGAGAGAGGGAGGAAGGACGACGGCGCUGUCUCACUGUCAGGGCCGUGCAUGCCGCCGCCGAGUGAAGCCGCGAACGUCGCCGUCACUGGAGCAGAGAGCGAAAGAGAGCACUUUCCGUGGAGAAAGGGAAGGCGCUGUCGUGCAGCGCGAAGCCGCCGCCGCCGUCACGCACCCUGUCGCCGCGGUUGAUGAUGGGUCGCCGGGCCUCGCCGCGCCGCCGUGCCUGGUUGCCGAAAAACGGCACUGCCGUUACUGGGAUCCACUGUCGUUGUUGUCAUCGGAGCCUGGGGCUAUUGUCGUCACUUGAGGUAGCUGCCGGAGCUUCUGCCCCUCCGUUGCGGCAUUUUUCUUUAACUGUGGGUCGAGUUCUGGAAACUGUAUGAUUAAAAUAGAGGCUGUUGCGGUGUUAUCCUUC
Arachis ipaensis is the source of this 605-nucleotide non-coding RNA. The record is from RefSeq and is a predicted model, not a curated record. NCBI's taxonomy places the organism in Eukaryota, Viridiplantae, Streptophyta, Magnoliopsida, Fabales, Fabaceae.